RNAcentral lists this ribosomal RNA (495 nucleotides) under uncultured bacterium. Its description in RNAcentral is "partial 16S ribosomal RNA". It matches the Rfam family "Bacterial small subunit ribosomal RNA", at positions 28 to 507 of the family's 1533-position model. The record is from RNAcentral.
GACGAACGCUGGCGGCGUGCCUAAUACAUGCCAGUAGAACGCUGAAGGAGGAGCUUGCUUCUCUGGAUGAGUUGCGAACGGGUGAGUAACGCGUAGGUAACCUGCCUGGUAGCGGGGGAUAACUAUUGGAAACGAUAGCUAAUACCGCAUAAUAGUAGAUGUUGCAUGACAUUUGCUUAAAAGGUGCAAUUGCAUCACUACCAGAUGGACCUGCGUUGUAUUAGCUAGUUGGUGAGGUAACGGCUCACCAAGGCAACGAUACAUAGCCGACCUGAGAGGGUGAUCGGCCACACUGGGACUGAGACACGGCCCAGACUCCUACGGGAGGCAGCAGUAGGGAAUCUUCGGCAAUGGACGGAAGUCUGACCGAGCAACGCCGCGUGAGUGAAGAAGGUUUUCGGAUCGUAAAGCUCUGUUGUAAGAGAAGAACGGGUGUGAGAGUGGAAAGUUCACACUGUGACGGUAUCUUACCAGAAAGGGACGGCUAACUACGUG